AGCGUAGACGGUGUGGCAAGUCUGAUGUGAAAGGCAUGGGCUCAACCUGUGGACUGCAUUGGAAACUGUCAUACUUGAGUGCCGGAGGGGUAAGCGGAAUUCCUAGUGUAGCGGUUUUGAAAUGCGUAGAUAUUAGGAGGAACACCAGUGGCGAAGGCGGCUUACUGGACGGUAACUGACGUUGAGGCUCGAAAGCGUGGGAGCAAACA
This 209-nucleotide ribosomal RNA is filed under the name uncultured bacterium. RNAcentral's name for it is "partial 16S ribosomal RNA". It matches the Rfam family "Bacterial small subunit ribosomal RNA", at positions 568 to 774 of the family's 1533-position model. The record is from RNAcentral.